This 555-nucleotide ribosomal RNA is filed under the name Halicephalobus sp. JB043. RNAcentral's name for it is "partial large subunit ribosomal RNA". It matches the Rfam family "Eukaryotic large subunit ribosomal RNA", at positions 356 to 953 of the family's 3401-position model. The record is from RNAcentral. Lineage: Eukaryota; Metazoa; Nematoda; Chromadorea; Rhabditida; Panagrolaimidae.
AGGGAAAGUUGAAAAGCACUCUGAAGAGAGAGUUAAAAGAACGUGAAAACGAUUAAGUGGAAGCAAACAGGUCUAUUGAAAGAUGUAUAGUUUUCUAUGCAUCUGCUAAUACAUAUGUGGAGUUUCUAUUAUUCUAUUUUAAGAGGACUCUAUAUGAGAACCCUUAUGAUGGUUGAACGUUAUCUCCCUAUAUGAAUAUUAGCAUUUAUGAUAGUUACCUGUUUGACCCGUCUUGAAACACGGACCAAGAAGUUUAUUGUAUACGCGAGUCAUUAAGUGUUAAAACUUAUUGGCAUAAUGAAAGUAAAGGUUCAUUCGUUGAGCUGAUGUAUGAUAAAGUGUUUACGGACAUUUUAGCAGUACAGUCCUAUUCUUAUGGCUUGCCAUGGAGUGGAGAUAGAGCGUAUGCAAUGAGACCCGAAAGAUGGUGAUCUAUGCUUGAGCAGGAUGAAGCCGGAGGAAACUCUGGUGAAAGUCCGUAACGGUUCUGACGUGCAAAUCGAUCGUCUGACUUGAGUAUAGGGGCGAAAGACUAAUCGAACCAUCUAGUAGCUG